CUGCUAGGGAAGGCAUCGAGCUUGAGGAAGAGGCCUCAUUCAUCUCCGUACCCCAGGCCCUAGUACACAGCAGGCAGCUCCAGGUGGGCACGCAUCUUUGUUGUGUUCUCUGCUGACUGUAUCCUCAGCACCUAGAACUGUCUGUCACCUAAUAGAUGCUCACAAGAAUGCGGUGUGUCAGGAGAAGCAAAUCCCAAAUGAGAUAAACCUGCCAGUAAUUUCAGCAAAUGAAACGUGGAACACGUCAAGGCCAGAGGAUGGAAAAGGCUCCAGUUUUGAUAAAAGGAGGCCUGCUUGGCUUGGAAUCCUCUCUCCUGCUGGUUGGGAGAUGCAAAGAUGUUUCCAGAGAGGGGCUGAUGAAUUGAGGGGAAAGAAAUGAGCCCAGUAUGAGUCCCCUUUCAGGGCUGAGUGUGUAUAAAACCAAACAACUUGGAACCGCUCCAAGAGAGGGGAUUAAAGCAACAUGUUAUUC
This 472-nucleotide long non-coding RNA is filed under the name Pongo abelii (Sumatran orangutan). RNAcentral describes it as "lincRNA". Lineage: Eukaryota; Metazoa; Chordata; Mammalia; Primates; Hominidae. The record is from RNAcentral.